Molecule: small nuclear RNA, 136 nt
Organism: Hyaena hyaena (striped hyena)
Lineage: Eukaryota; Metazoa; Chordata; Mammalia; Carnivora; Hyaenidae
Product: U4 spliceosomal RNA
Exons: 1
Source: RefSeq, a predicted model, not a curated record
AGCUUUGCGCAGUGGCAGUAUCAUAGCCAACGAGGUUUAUCUGAGGCGCGAUUAUUGCUAAUUGAAACAAACAGAAGUAAAAAUAGUAUACUUUUAAACAUAUCCAAAGUUUCAUUAUUAAAACAUUAAACGUAAA